AUGGGAACGCUGCCAAGGUGGCUCUUGGGCUGGUGGUGCUUUGAGCACGGAGAGCUUCUCCCAGCAAAAGUUUGUGGCUGUCCCAGGACGUGGAUGGCUCAGCUGGACCCGCUCACCCUUGGCCUGGAUGGAGCAAGCCCUGGCCGCCUGGCCGAGCGCAUCAGUGGCUCGAGUGCCGCGCGGCUUCCGCCGUCAGGAAGCAGCGAGGGGGUCGCAGUCCCUGCCCACGCAGUUGCACAAUGCCCGGUGCCUCCAGUGCCUGCACCAGCCCAGCUCAUGGCUCAUCGCCCGUUGCUUUCCAGCUCCUCACACUGGUCAUCACCUGCCCCCAGACGGCUGGCCAGACCGCUCAGCUUCUUCCUCAAAUCCUCCUCUCCCCCCACAUGGGCACAGCCCCCUCUCCGGCCGCUUUGUCCUCUCCCAAGGACACGGCUUGGAGAGCAGGAGAGCAGCCAGGACUUGCAGCUUGGCACUGCACCAAGCUGCUCACCCACCCACGCAGGACCGGCCUCUCCCCUGCCACCUUUUCCUCCAGCCCUCCCCACUGAGCUGGUAGCACCCAGCCACCCCUCGCCCUCCGCCGGGCGCUCCUGGGCGCACACACCAAAAAGCUGGCUCAAAAAUUCAGCGCUGCUGUCAGCACUGAGCUGCUGGUUUUCCACCUGGGCACCCUGCAUCCAUCCACCCACACAUCCAGGCACACAUCCGUGCACACACACAUCCAUCCAUCCAUCCAUCCAUCCAUCCAUCCAUCCAUCCAUCCAUCCAUCCAUCCAUCCAUCCAUCCAUCCAUCCAUCCAUCCACCCCUGCGUGUGCGCCUCCCAGGUCUGCAUUUGCGCCCCUCGCCGCGACCCCCCGAGGGCUGGGGCCACCCCGGGUCCCCAGCCAAGGCCGUGGCGAGGGGCGGUGGAGGAGGAGGAGGAGGAGAAAGAGGAGAAGAAGAAGGAGGAGGAGGAGGAGGAGCCGGGAGGCAGCGCUCCGCCUGUGGGGCCGGCCCGAGCAGCGCCGGAGCCCGGGGAGCCGAGGACAAAAGGUGGCCGGGGGGGGACCGGAGCGGGAGGAGCCGGGACGGGGCUGGAGGCGGGGGCGGCGCCGAACCGAACCGGAGCGGGAACCGGAGCGGGAACCGGAGCGGGAACCGGAGCGGGAACCGGAGCGGGAACCGGAGCGGGAACCGGAGCGGGAACCGGAGCGCCCGGGGCUGGGGAAGCCGUGGUGGGGCUCGGCCGGGGCCGUCCCGGUGCCGGUGCCGCCCAGGAGGGGAGCGCCCCCGCCGUCUCCAAAGGUGCCCGGGAUUUUUGGGGUCCCCAGGGGUGCCCCCAGCAGCCGGGGAAGGGGCACCCGCUCGCUCCCCAAACCCCAUGGUGGGGCCGGGUGGAAACGAGCACUGA
This 1392-nucleotide long non-coding RNA is filed under the name Anas platyrhynchos (mallard). Its description in RNAcentral is "lncRNA (ENSAPLG00020009067.1)". Lineage: Eukaryota; Metazoa; Chordata; Aves; Anseriformes; Anatidae. The record is from RNAcentral.